AACCCAACCUAACUUGCUUAACCAAACUCAACCAAAUUUAGCUUGAGAUGGUGUUGGGUUGAAUUGGGUUAAAGGAAUCCAAACUGAGACUAUGUGGUCGGCAUAGGGUUGGAAGAAUAGAGUUUAGGUUGGGUUAGGGUUUGUCUAAACUGACUUAACCCACCCAAGUUGCAGUCCUAGCAUUAAGUGGUGACAAAAUUGUUCGAUUGGUAAAGAUUUGAGGAGUCCAGGAAGAAACAUUUGUAACCACGAGAAAAAGAGAAGGAUGCAAAAUGGAAAAAGGAUAAGUGUAGAGCUGUUGCCUAUAAUAAUGAAGGAAGAUGAGAAGGGGGUAGGGGUAUGCCUUUACUCCACCCCUCCACCAUAGUUCGUAAUGACCUUCUAAUCUUGUUCAAUUCAUUAAAAAAAAUGUGAGAGAUUAUGUCUUAUUCCAAUCAUCCAAAUUUUCUACUCCAUUCACUACCAAACUACCUCCUAAAAUCUUCCUAAACUAAUCCC
Molecule: long non-coding RNA, 498 nt
Filed under: Phoenix dactylifera (date palm)
Lineage: Eukaryota; Viridiplantae; Streptophyta; Magnoliopsida; Arecales; Arecaceae
Description: long non-coding RNA (PDAC_LNC003668)
Source: RNAcentral